This 593-nucleotide small RNA is filed under the name Pongo abelii (Sumatran orangutan). RNAcentral describes it as "retained intron". Lineage: Eukaryota; Metazoa; Chordata; Mammalia; Primates; Hominidae. The record is from RNAcentral.
AUAUCUGUACCUGCUGGAUAAUAUUGCAGUUCAGCCUUUAAAAGAGGCAGUGCUUUUCUUAAUCCUCUGGCUUCCCCAGGCCACUGAUUCUGUUUGUUUCCUUCUUCAGGAUCUGUGAAUGCACAGAAGCUGAGGCAGAGAUAAUUCUGCAGCUGAAGAGCGAGCUCAGAGAAAAGGAAUUAAAAUUAACGGAUAUUCGGCUGGAGGCCCUCAGCUCUGCUCAUCAUCUUGAUCAGAUCCGGGAAGCCAUGAACCGGAUGCAGAAUGAAAUUGAAAUACUGAAAGCUGAAAAUGACCGGUUGAAGGCAGAAACUGGUAACACAGCUAAGCCUACUCGGCCACCGUCAGAAUCCUCAAGCAGCACCUCCUCUUCAUCUUCCAGGCAGUCAUUAGGACUUUCUCUAAACAAUCUGAACAUCACAGAGGCUGUUACCUCAGAUAUUUUGCUAGAUGAUGCUGGUGAUGCAACUGGACAUAAAGAUGGCCGCAGUGUGAAAAUUAUAGUCUCCAUAAGCAAGGGCUAUGGUCGAGCAAAGGAUCAAAAGUCUCAGGCAUAUUUGAUAGGAUCCAUUGGUGUUAGUGGAAAAACCAAG